This 468-nucleotide ribosomal RNA is filed under the name uncultured bacterium. RNAcentral describes it as "partial 16S ribosomal RNA". It matches the Rfam family "Bacterial small subunit ribosomal RNA", at positions 28 to 507 of the family's 1533-position model. The record is from RNAcentral.
GACGAACGCUGGCGGCGUGCUUAACACAUGCAAGUCGAACGGAAAGGCCCUGCUUUUGUGGGGUGCUCGAGUGGCGAACGGGUGAGUAACACGUGAGUAACCUGCCCUUGACUUUGGGAUAACUUCAGGAAACUGGGGCUAAUACCGGAUAGGAGCUCCUGCUGCAUGGUGGGGGUUGGAAAGUUUCGGCGGUUGGGGAUGGAUUCGCGGCUUAUCAGCUUGUUGGUGGGGUAGUGGCUUACCAAGGCUUUGACGGGUAGCCGGCCUGAGAGGGUGACCGGCCACAUUGGGACUGAGAUACGGCCCAGACUCCUACGGGAGGCAGCAGUGGGGGAUAUUGCACAAUGGGCGGAAGCCUGAUGCAGCAACGCCGCGUGCGGGAUGACGGCCUUCGGGUUGUAAACCGCUUUCGCCUGUGACGAAGCGUGAGUGACGGUAAUGGGUAAAGAAGCACCGGCUAACUACGUG